CUACGGAGGGGGCUAGCGUUGUACGGAAUUACUGGGCGUAAAGCGCACGUAGGCGGUGUAGCAAGUUAGGGGUGAAAGGCCUGGGCUCAACCUGGGAACUGCCUCUGAUACUGUUACACUAGAGUCCGGGAGAGGGUAGCGGAAUUCCAAGUGUAGAGGUGAAAUUCGUAGAUAUUUGGAAGAACACCGGUGGCGAAGGCGGCUACCUGGACCGGCACUGACGCUGAGGUGCGAAAGCGUGGGGAGCGAACAGGAUUAGAAACCCCAGUAGUCC
This 274-nucleotide ribosomal RNA is filed under the name uncultured bacterium. RNAcentral describes it as "partial 16S ribosomal RNA". It matches the Rfam family "Bacterial small subunit ribosomal RNA", at positions 523 to 796 of the family's 1533-position model. The record is from RNAcentral.